This 496-nucleotide ribosomal RNA is filed under the name uncultured bacterium. Its description in RNAcentral is "partial 16S ribosomal RNA". It matches the Rfam family "Bacterial small subunit ribosomal RNA", at positions 28 to 507 of the family's 1533-position model. The record is from RNAcentral.
GAUGAACGCUGGCGGCGUGCCUAAUACAUGCAAGUCGAGCGAACAGACGAGGAGCUUGCUCCUCUGACGUUAGCGGCGGACGGGUGAGUAACACGUGGAUAACCUACCUAUAAGACUGGAUAACUUCGGGAAACCGGAGCUAAUACCGGAUAAUAUAUUGAACCGCAUGGUUCAAUAGUGAAAGACGGUUUUGCUGUCACUUAUAGAUGGAUCCGCGCCGCAUUAGCUAGUUGGUAAGGUAACGGCUUACCAAGGCAACGAUGCGUAGCCGACCUGAGAGGGUGAUCGGCCACACUGGAACUGAGACACGGUCCAGACUCCUACGGGAGGCAGCAGUAGGGAAUCUUCCGCAAUGGGCGAAAGCCUGACGGAGCAACGCCGCGUGAGUGAUGAAGGUCUUCGGAUCGUAAAACUCUGUUAUUAGGGUAGAACAAAUGUGUAAGUAACUAUGCACGUCUUGACGGUACCUAAUCAGAAAGCCACGGCUAACUACGUG